CCUACAUCAGCCGAGGGGGCCCUGGGAGAAGCCGCCCCCAUUCAGAUGGCCCUGCUCGGAAAAUCAGCUGCAGCAGGCUCAGGCCAAGGGCUCCUAGGCUCCGAGGCACUUCACUGACUCCUCCCAGGGCUUCUCAUCACCUUUCCAGGACGAGCAGAAGCAGCUGUGUUUGGUUUUGGAGGAUCUGACCGCCUGUGCGCCUCUCCUGGACCGCAGGGAGCAGGCCACCAGCUGAUUACGAGCCCCUGGCCUGGGGAGCCAGGCCCGCUGCCCGCCCGCAGCUCAGCUCCCCCCAAGCAGGUUUUCGUGCAAACUCUAACUUUUGGAAGCUCAUGGCGUGGGGAUUCCAAGAGCCUGGGGUGCUUGUCUGAUUGGCCAGAAGACAUCAAGCUGAAGCCCUCGGCCCCAGGAGCCCCGACACACAGGAGACCGCCUGGAGUGCAAGUGGCCUGGCCUGCCGACCCCCACCCACCUGGAGGUCUGGGCUUCUACCCAUUCAGGGAGCGGGGCCUUCACGCCCCACAGAGUCCACCUGAAAUAAGGCAGACGCCAAAGGACAGACUUCAUAUGAGUCCAGCGAUAGGGCGGCCAGAAUCAGCUCAUCCAUGGGGAUGGGCAGCAGAUCAGGGUGGCCGGCGGGUGUGCGGAGGGCAUCACUGCCCUCUGGGUAGUUUCCGUUUGAGAUGCAGAAGCGGUUUUGGAAGUGCAUAGGGGUGGUGGCCCAGAGGGGCGUGGGGAGGGGAGUCACUGCCCUCUGGGUAGUUUCCAUUUGAGAUGCAGAAGCGGUUUUGGAAGUGCAUAGGGGUGGUGGCCCAGAGGGGCGUGGGGAGGGGAGUCGCUGCCCUCUGGGUAGUUUCCAUUUGAGAUGCAGAAGCGGUUUUGGAAGUGCAUAGGGGUGGUGGCCCAGAGGGGCGUGGGGAGGGGAGUCGCUGCCCUCUGGGUAGUUUCCAUUUGAGAUGCAGUUUUGGAAGGGGAUGGAGCUGGUGGCUUUAUGAUGUCGCGAGUGUCAUUAGUGCCACCAAAUCGUACACUCGAAAUGGCCAACGUGGCACGUUUAGCACGAAAGGAACGCAGUCGGCCUCCUGAAUCCGUGGGUUCUGUAUCCAUGGAUUCCACCAAACUUUGAUCCAAAAUAUUUGGGUGAAAGCUGUGUCUGUACCAAACAUACGCAGACAUUUUUCUUGUCACUAUUCACUAAACAACACCAUACAGCCGAGAUUCCCUAAGCACUGGCACCACGUCGGGUACUGGGCGCCACCCAGAGGUGACUGACAGCAUCAGGAAGAGGCGCGCAGGUUCUAGGCAGACACUAGGCCAUUUUACACCAGGACUAGGGAACCUGCCAAUUUCAGGAUCUGAGGGAUCCCGACAGCAAUCCCGGUGGAUCUCGAGGGAUGACUGCGCCACGGGAGGAUCAAUGGCUUACAUGUGAAAAGCAAAACUGUAAAAAAAUGUUCAUUGAGCAUUUGCUCUGUACCAGACACAGUUCUUAGCACUUUCAAAGCAACAGCGUACAAAACACCUGCUGUCUGCCCUCCUGGGGCCCAGUUCUGGAGACGGGCGGGGGGCAGGAGUUGUCAUCACAGGUAAGCAAAUCACUCCAGUGAAACUCAUCAAGGGGAGGGGUUUCGGGGAGGGGGUGUGCAAAGAGGGGCGGCUGCAUCCACACCUGAUUUAAAAUGAGGUUGCCACGAGUGGGGAAGGUGACAACGUUUCCACAGACCUGAAGGAAGUAGAGACAUCGACGGAGGUUUCAUCCUGAGGUCCGAAACCAGUAUGUAAGAAAACACAUUUUGUGUCUUUAUGAAACUGGGGAGUGUCAGUUACAACACUUCGUUUUUAGAAAGAAACACGAUGAAUCCACACAGGAUUUUUGGAAGUUGCUUUUCAGACAACAUGGCUGAAUUGCCACAACAUAAGGCUUCUAUGUGUGACUUUCAAAGCCUGAUCCAAAAGGCAAUUUUUCAACCAAAAAAAUAAUUUUUCUUGAAUUUCCUAAGCAGUUCUCUUUCCUUAAAAAAAAUAAAUUUUUAGGUGAACUGUGGUGGCUCAUGCCUGUAAUCCCUUUGGGAGGUCAAGGCGGGCAAAUCACCUGAUGUCAGGAGUUUGAGACCAUCCUGGCCAACAUGGUGAAAUCCCGUCUCUACUAAAAAUACAAAAAUUUGCUGGGCUUGGUUUUGGGUCCCUGUAAUACCAGCUACUCCAAGGCUGAGGCAGGCGGAGAUUGCAGUGAGCUGAGAUCAUGCCACUGCACUCCAGCCUGGGUAACAAGAGCAAAACUCCAUUUAAAGAUUAAAAAUUAAAAUAAAUAAUAAAAUAAAAUAAAAAUAAAUCAUCCAGUAUUUUUUUUUUUUUUUUUUCUGGGACAGAGUUUUGCUCUUGUUACCCAGGCUGGAGUGCAAUGGUGCAAUCUCGGCUCACCACAACCUCUGCCUCCUGGGUUCAGGCAAUUCUCCUGCCUCAGCCUCCUGAGUAGCUGGGAUUAUAGGCACGUGCCACUGUGCCCAGCUAAUUUUUUGUAUUUUUAGUAGAGACGGGGUUUACCAUGUUGACCAGGAUGGUCUUGAGCUCUUGACCUUGUGAUCCACCAGCCUUGGCCUCCCAAAGUGCUGGGAUUAUAGGCGUGAGCCACUGCGCCCGGCCCGUCAUUUUUUUUUUUAAAGAUGAAGUCUCACUGCGUUGCCCAGGCUGGUCUCUUAACUCCUGGGUUCAAGCAAGUGCCCACCUCUUCCUCCACCUCCCACAGUGUUGGGAUUACAGGCAUCAGCCUCUGCGCCUGGGCCUACACACUUAUCUUUUUUUUUUUUUGAGACGGAGUUUCGCUCUUGUUACCCAGGCUGGAGUGCAAUGGCGCGAUCUCGGCUCACCGCAACCUCCGCCUCCUGGGUUCAGGCAAUUCUCCUGCCUCAACCUCCCGAGUAGCUGGGAUUACAGGCACGCGCCACCAUGCCCAGCUAAUUUUUUGUAUUUUUAGUAGAGACAGGGUUUCACCAUGUUGACCAGAAUGGUCUCGAUCUCUUAACCUCGUGAUCCACCCAUCUCGGCCUCCCAAAGUGCUGGGAUUACAGGCUUGAGCCACUGCGAUACACACUUAUCUUAAUUGCUUGACAUUUAAAUCAUUUUCUUUUGAGGCCUGUUUUGUCUUUGUGCUUGUCACAAGGUCCUCAGACCCCAGAGCAGCAGCAGCCGCCGCACGCUGGGGCUCGUUUGAAACGGGAAUUCCUGGGCUGCGUCCCAGACCUGCUGAAGGAGAGCACCUAAGGAUGGGUGCAGAGACCUGAGUUCCACCACAGUCCGUGACCCCAUCUUCACGAAAGCCAGCGUUCUUGGCCAGAUUAGCAUUCAUUUUAUUUUGUUUUGUUUCGUUUCAUUUUAUUUUAGUAGGGACGGGGUUUUGCCAGGUUGCCCAGCUGGUCUCGAACUCCUGCCCUCACGUGGUCUGCCUGCCUCAGCUUUGCAAAGUGCUGAGAUUACAGGUGUGAGCCACAGCACGGGCCUAGCAUUUAUUUUUACCAUCAUUGUUUUCUGGGUCUUUAUUGCCUUAUGAGAAAACAUUGCAAAACUUAGAGGCUUAAAGCAGCGAUGCAUAAUUAUCCCCACCGGGCUGUGUGCUGACUGGGCCUGGCUGGGCGGUUUUUGCUGGUGGCUUUUUAUGUGGCUGCAAUCAGACGGCAGCUGGGGCAGGAUUCACCUGGAGACUUGAUUGGACUGGGCAUCUGAGACGGCUUCCGUGGGUAACCCCCCUAUAGGCAGAACCCUGGCACAGUUAGGGCUUGAGGAAUCUCUCACUUCAUAGUGUUACCACGCAGCGAUUUCCUUUUAUAUAAUCCUUUACAUAAUCAUAUAUUAGUUUAUAGAAAUAGGGCUUGACGAAUCCCUUUAUAGAAUCCUCUAUAUGUAAUCAUAUAAUAGUUGAUAGUAUGAGUGCCUAAAGAUAUUUCCCUACAUAUAUACCUAUAAUUAUAUCUUGGUUCAUAAUUGGAGGAAUGCCUAGAGUGGACACAGUGCAGAGCAUGAAUUAAGGAAUAAGCAGCUUAUAAUCGGAGGAAUGCCUAGAGCAGACACAGUGCAGAGCAUGAUUUAAGGGAAAACAGUUAUACCAGGACAGGAAUCCAUGGCCCAGGUGGCAGCCUUCAGUAUCAUAAAGACACCCGCUGUAUGGCGGGCUUGGAGCGAGAGCCUCUCCUCCUGAUAAAGGAGUUGUAGGACCUUGCUCCAGUUCUUGUGGAAGGCCGCCCUCAGACCGGCAAUCCACCUUGGUGACUGUGAACUCUAUCAGCUCUUGCUACUGUGCUGCUCGAAAAGCAUCUUCCCAUAGAACCCACUGGAAGCUGCCAGAAGGUCGUGGUAACCCUGAGAGCUCUGUCACUGCUGUGUGACUUAAAGCAUCCUAUAAAUCUUAGUAGCUUGCCCAUAGAUAGAAGCAUUGCACACUGCACCUUCUUCACUGUGCAUGGCCCACCUUCAAGCCUUGGUGACCUAAUGGGGGUGGACCCCUUGCUGCACACUGUCCACCUCCUGGCCUCGGUGACCUAAUGAGGGCAGACCCCAUGUUUUAUUGCUCACGACCCUAUCACUAUCCUUAAAGAUGGUUUCACUCACUGCCCUGCCCCCUAACCUACACACAACAAAUACUCACGCUUCUGGACAUUCGGGGCUUUGCCUGACUCUGCUCAUAGGUGGCGUGGCCCCCUGAGCCCAGCUGCGUUUUCCUUGUACGUCUGUGUCCUGUCUCUUCAUUUCUCGGAUCCUGUGCCUCAGCACAGCAUAAGGCUCACCCCACGACCCUGUGGGGCCCUCAGCCCUACAGCUUCUCCAAUCCUAUGUCCGUUGCGUCAGCCGGGAUGGGAGAACAGGCGCCCUCCCUCACUGUGAGUCUUGCUCUGUCGCCCAGGCUGGAGUGCAGUGGCGCCAUCUUGGAUCACUCCAGCCCCGACCUCCUGGGUUCAAGCGAUUCCCCUGCCUCAGCCUCACAAGUAGAUGGGACUACAGGUGCCCACCACCACAUCCAGCUAAUAUUUUGUAUUUUUAGUAGAGAUGGGGUUUCACCAUGUUAGCCAUGAUGGUCUCCGUCUCCUGACCUUGUGAUUCACCCGCCUCGGCCUCCCAAAGAGCUGGGAUUCCAGGCCUGAGCCACCACACGCAGCCCUAAUUUUUGUGUUUUUAGUAGAGUUGGUGUUUCACCAUGUUAGCCAGGAUGGUCUCCGUCUCCUGACCUUGUGAUUUACCCGCCUCGGCCUCCCAAAGAGCUGGGAUUCCAGGCCUGAGCCACCACGCGCAGCCCUAAUUUUUGUGUUUUUAGUAGGGUUGGUGUUUCACCAU
This 5322-nucleotide long non-coding RNA is filed under the name Callithrix jacchus (white-tufted-ear marmoset). RNAcentral describes it as "lncRNA (ENSCJAG00000081704.1)". Lineage: Eukaryota; Metazoa; Chordata; Mammalia; Primates; Cebidae. The record is from RNAcentral.